Anastrepha ludens (Mexican fruit fly) is the source of this 713-nucleotide long non-coding RNA. RefSeq lists it as uncharacterized. The record is from RefSeq and is a predicted model, not a curated record. The transcript has 3 exons. Lineage: Eukaryota; Metazoa; Arthropoda; Insecta; Diptera; Tephritidae.
AGUAUCAUUAGAAGAGCUAAUUAAUUCGCCUUGAGCGAAUUGGCAUUUCUGUCAAAAAUUUGUGCCAAGGCGAAUUUGCUUUGUUUACAUAUUUCUUUGUUUCUACAUUGUUACUCAAAGUAUUUGUAGCAGUUAUGAAACACAAAAAAUAAAGAUUAUCCGUACAUAAUAUCAUAGUAUUAUUGCAUUGUUGAAUGCAAAUAUGGUGAAAUGUGUAUUGUGCGCAAAACGAUGAUCUCGGUAUGGUAGACGCUUAUGCUGCAGAAGGCGAUGUGCUUGUUUUCCUAUACUAAAAUAUGAACAGCAGGCUGAGCCUCUUGUCCAGUGAAGGUUAUGGAUUUCAUUAGUCCCAAUACGUUUGAAUAAAACGCAAGUCCUUUGGUGUGUAGUGGCUUCAAUUGGGGGGUUACAUUACAAAUGAAUCAACGGAAUGAAGAUGAACAAUUUAAAUGUCAAUUUAAAACACUAAUAAUGGCUGGUUACUUAUUUGCGGUAAAUGGACACUGUUUCAAAUAGAUUGGUGCUUACGAUGACGGAAUGGAUAUAUUUGGUGGACACAUUUUCUGCAAAAGACGGUCCCAUUCAGUGCCCGAUUGUAAGGAUAGCAUGAAGCGCAAAUCAAUACAUCCAAAAUCCAAAUAGUUAUUAGUUUGAAAUAAACUAAUUUUUUAUAUGCGAACAAAUCCACUUUUAAUUCGUAAAUUAGCAAACAG